Long non-coding RNA from Rhincodon typus (whale shark), 484 nucleotides. RefSeq lists it as uncharacterized. The transcript is spliced from 3 exons. NCBI's taxonomy places the organism in Eukaryota, Metazoa, Chordata, Chondrichthyes, Orectolobiformes, Rhincodontidae. The record is from RefSeq and is a predicted model, not a curated record.
AGAAAGAGAACAUAAUGUCAGAGAGAGGGUGAGGAAUGGAGGCCGUCCAGAUAUUUCACAAUGAACAGAAGAGGAGUUACUAAUUUAGACGAAGUUUCAGCAUCACUGCUCAGGAAACGGGGGCUUGCAGCUACCUGCUGAAACUAUCACAUGUCAGUGACCCAUAUCGCAUACUGUACUGAGUCACACGGAAAGUCAGGAUGAUGGCAUUGCUGGCUAAGCCAGCAUUUAUUGUCCAUUGCUGAGGGCAGUUAAGAGUUCAACCACAUUCCUGUGGGUCUGGAGUCACAUAUAGGCCAGACCAGAUGCUGCCAGACCUGCUGAAUUUCUCCUGCAUUCUCUGCUUUUGUUUCAGAUUUCAUGUAUCUGUAGUACUCUGUUUUUAUACUUACUGAAAACUGUUAACAUUUAUUAAUAGUGGUGCAAAUCAAAUCUUAUUAGAAACACACACCUUAUUUUUGAAAAAUAAACUGUUGGGAAUGUG